This 459-nucleotide ribosomal RNA is filed under the name uncultured bacterium. RNAcentral describes it as "partial 16S ribosomal RNA". It matches the Rfam family "Bacterial small subunit ribosomal RNA", at positions 338 to 795 of the family's 1533-position model. The record is from RNAcentral.
CCUACGGGUGGCAGCAGUGAGGGAUAUUGGUCAAUGGGCGCGAGCCUGAACCAGCCAAGUAGCGUGAAGGAUGACUGCCCUACGGGUUGUAAACUUCUUUUAUAAGGGAAUAAAGUGAGGCGCGUGUGCCUUUUUGUAUGUACUUUAUGAAUAAGGAUCGGCUAACUCCGUGCCGGCAGCCGCGGUAAUAAGGAGGAUCCGAGGGUUAUCCGGAUUUAUUGGGUUGAAAGGGUGAGUAGGCGGAAUAUCAAGUCGGCGGUAAAAAUUCGGGGCUCAACCCCGUCGUGCCGUUGAAACUGAGGUUCUUGAGUGGGCGAGAAGUAGGCGGAAUGCGUGGUGUAGCGGUGAAAUGCAUAGAUAUCACGCAGAACUCCGAUUGCGAAGGCAGCAUACCGGCGCCCAACUGACGCUGAAGCACGAAAGCGUGGGGAUCGAACAGGAUUAGAUACCCUAGUAGUC